UACGGAGGAGGCAAGCGUUAUCCGGAAUUAUUGGGCGUAAAGCGUCCGUAGGUGGCACUUCAAGUCUGCGGUCAAAGACCGGGGCUUAACCCUGGAAAGGCCGUGGAAACUGAAGUGCUAGAGUGCAGUAGGGGUAGAGGGAAUUCCCGGUGUAGCGGUGAAAUGCGUAGAGCUCGGGAAGAACAUCGGUGGCGAAAGCGCUCUACUGGACUGCAACUGACACUGAGGGACGAAAGCUAGGGGAGCGAAUGGG
Molecule: ribosomal RNA, 253 nt
Filed under: uncultured bacterium
Lineage: Bacteria
Description: partial 16S ribosomal RNA
Rfam family: Bacterial small subunit ribosomal RNA
Source: RNAcentral